Molecule: ribosomal RNA, 496 nt
Filed under: uncultured bacterium
Lineage: Bacteria
Description: partial 16S ribosomal RNA
Rfam family: Bacterial small subunit ribosomal RNA
Source: RNAcentral
GAUGAACGCUGGCGGCGUGCCUAAUACAUGCCAGUCGAGCGAACGGACGAGAAGCUUGCUUCUCUGAUGUUAGCGGCGGACGGGUGAGUAACACGUGGAUAACCUACCUAUAAGACUGGGAUAACUUCGGGAAACCGGAGCUAAUACCGGAUAAUAUUUUGAACCGCAUGGUUCAAAAGUGAAAGACGGUCUUGCUGUCACUUAUAGAUGGAUCCGCGCUGCAUUAGCUAGUUGGUAAGGUAACGGCUUACCAAGGCAACGAUGCAUAGCCGACCUGAGAGGGUGAUCGGCCACACUGGACCUGAGACACGGUCCAGACUCCUACGGGAGGCAGCAGUAGGGAAUCUUCCGCAAUGGGCGAAAGCCUGACGGAGCAACGCCGCGUGAGUGAUGAAGGUCUUCGGAUCGUAAAACUCUGUUAUUAGGGAAGAACAUAUGUGUAAGUAACUGUGCACAUCUUGACGGUACCUAAGCAGAAAGCCACGGCUAACUACGU